GAUGAACGCUGGCGGCGUGCUUAACACAUGCAAGUCGAACGGAAAGGCCAGUGCUUGCACUGGUACUCGAGUGGCGAACGGGUGAGUAACACGUGGGUGAUCUGCCCUGUACUUCGGGAUAAGCUUGGGAAACUGGGUCUAAUACCGGAUAGGACAACUUUUUGGAUAUUGUUGUGGAAAGCUUUUGCGGUGUGGGAUGAGCUCGCGGCCUAUCAGCUUGUUGGUGGGGUAAUGGCCUACCAAGGCGUCGACGGGUAGCCGGCCUGAGAGGGUGUACGGCCACAUUGGGACUGAGAUACGGCCCAGACUCCUACGGGAGGCAGCAGUGGGGAAUAUUGCACAAUGGGCGCAAGCCUGAUGCAGCGACGCCGCGUGGGGGAUGAAGGCCUUCGGGUUGUAAACUCCUUUCGCUAGGGACGAAGCGCAAGUGACGGUACCUGGAGAAGAAGCACCGGCUAACUACGUG
RNAcentral lists this ribosomal RNA (466 nucleotides) under uncultured bacterium. RNAcentral describes it as "partial 16S ribosomal RNA". It matches the Rfam family "Bacterial small subunit ribosomal RNA", at positions 28 to 507 of the family's 1533-position model. The record is from RNAcentral.